Heterocephalus glaber (naked mole-rat) is the source of this 4023-nucleotide long non-coding RNA. The record is from Ensembl. NCBI's taxonomy places the organism in Eukaryota, Metazoa, Chordata, Mammalia, Rodentia, Bathyergidae.
CGAAGCCCCCACUCCGGGCAGGUCUCGCCUCUCUAAGGCUCCACCCACUGUGUCUGCAGGAAGCUAGGACCCAGCCUUGAACCCACCGGUGCUUGGGAGACACUUGAGGCCCAAAGCACCACGCCGACAGGGACGGCUUCGAGGUAGUCCUGUGGCAGUGUGCAGGUAGGGCAUGCGCUGAACACGCGCUUCGGGCUCUGUCUGUGGGCAGAGGAGGAGGGUUCGGCCGUCCCCAGGAGCCUGUCCACAGCCAGGGAGCCGCUCAGCCCGGGCCUCCGCCUGGGGUGGUCAUCCUGGGUUCAGGACUUGUCGUUUUGUUUAUUGGAGAAUAACAGGAAAUGCAGAUGGAACUGAGGAACAAAACCCAGCAUUUAUUCUUCAGAUGUCCUUGCAGAUCUGGACAUGAAGUCGACUUUGGAGUUUAACUCCAGGGCCACCAGAAAACCACUCUUUCCAAACUCUUGCUGGGGAUUUAGCUCAGUGGUUCUGUCGCCUGCCUCGCAAGCCCAAGGUCCCGAGUUCGGUCCCUGGUUCCAAAAAAACAAAAACCAAAACCCGCCAAAAAACACCAAACUCUUACACCAUGUUCUGCCUCAAACUGUGGGUUCAUUUCUGUCUGAAAAGAGCUUUUCACAUGACUGUUAGAGGGACAGCAAACUUCUUGAUGAUUGUAAGUGCUUUCAUUUUCCCUUGUCAGAGAAUGACAUAGGCCACUCCUCCCCUUCCCAGGAAAGCAGAGUCUGGAUCUUGACUUGGUGUGAUGGCCAGGAGGAGGACUUUACGUGCAGCCUCCUGUAGAGCUAGAAGUGGCAUGUGACCAAGCUGUGGCCAGUGAGAUACAACAGGACAUGUUCGUGCAGGUCCUACGAAGUGUUCCUAGGGAGGGCUCCAUGCUUCUCUGCCUCUUUCUUUUUCCUGCUGUCUGUCUGUCUGGACUCCCAGGAAGAUCACUGGAGCUCAAGCAGCCUUCUUGGCCCCCACGGUGGCAGGCUGGGUGACAGAGCACUAAAGACAAGAGUCUGAGUCCCUGCUUCCUGUGGGGUUUCCAAGAGCCCCAGACUUUCUAUGUGAGAGCAAAAUAAGCUUCUGCUUUGUCUAAAUUUCUCUCCUUUUCUGAGUCAUCAUCAUCAUUUGUUGUUGUGUGGGGCUGAACCUCAUUCUAAAUGAUACCGUAUAAGCCAGCCUUCUUAUCAUGAGACACACAACCUGACACCCAUGACAUAAAAGAGCAGAGGUUUAGUUUGACUCACAGUUGCAGGGGAUUCAGUCCCUGAUCGGCUGCUCCAAGGCAGGAAUGUCAUGGUGGAAGGGCAUGGUGGAGCAAAGCUGCUUAGUCCAUGGUGGCCAGGAGGCAGAGGAGGAGACAGCACCAGAGAGGAAGGGGCUGGGACCAGACAUAGACCCAAGGCCAGCCCUCCAGGACCCACCACGCACACCCAGAUGGGCCUCCUCAUCCCUAGGUGGAUCCCAAGCCAGUCAAGCUGAUCCCGCCCUGACUGCCUCAGGGACACAGUGAGGCUUCGGCCUUUGACAGCUGGCAGCAUGCCUGGCACCGUGGGUGAGCUGUGAGCACACAUGGGCGUGAGAGGACCCCGGGACCCCGUGGAGGUGAGGGCAGCCCACACUGACUCCCUACUGCUCCUCUGUGAGACCAGGAACUCGGGCAGAGAGACUCCGUCCUGGCCAUGCAGGCGCAGCCCAGCUGCGGUCUCGGAGGAGCACAUGCGUCUCUCUGAGAGUGGUUUAGUCUGAUUCGUGGUGAGGAGCACACUCGCUGGGCACAGCACCUGCACACCUAGGACACGCUUACCUGGAAGUGCGUGGGCCCGGCCAGUGUUACCGUCACUGCCUGGUGUCUAUGUGUCGCCUUUUGCCGUCUGCAGGCACAGUGGCCUCCAGGGCCGGUGUGCAGUCCUCGGGCUCAGGUGACAGUCGGUGGAGACUCAGAAAUGCUGCCCAGGAGCUGCUCAGCAGGCGAGGUGCUGCACACCUGUGACCCCAGCACUCCGGGAUGCUGAAGCAGGAGGAUCGUAAGUUUGAGCCUAGCCUCGGGCAGCUAAGGGACUCAGGAGGACCUUGUCUCAAAAUUAGAAAAAAUAAAAGAAGAAGAAGAAGAAAAGAAAAGGCAAAAGAAAAAGAAAAGAGCUGCUUCAGCUGGAGGCCUCGAGAGGCACAGUUGGAUUCUGUUUCCAGCCCAGCCCUGGGGCCCUUGAGCCAGAGCCGGACGCUGGGCUGGCUUGCUCUCUCGGAGCUCGGUCCCUGGGGCGGGACACGGGCGAGCACCCUCCUGCCUGGAUCUGAGGUCAGGCCAAGGUCUCUGCGCCCGAGCUCUUCCUGCUGGCCCCACCCCAGGUCCAAACUCUGCCGAUGGCAGGAGUUUAAUAUUUGAUGCUGAAGAGAAGCUGCCGGGAACAUCUAGAACAUCUCAUGUGCUGCUGCAAUUGUGGCGUCCUGGCCCGUAAACAAAGAGCCGGUUCUGUAAAAGCCACUACCAGAAGCAAAAUGGCAAGGCUGCCAGGAAAACCUUUAAAAGGCGGGGGGCAGCAGGAAGGCCAAGGUCAGGCACGGGGCCCGGGGGGCCCGGGUGGCCUGCAGGGCGGCACCUCGCGUCCUGAGCCCAGAGCCCACAGUGGCUCGAGGGGCUGGGAUCCAGUCCAGGAUGCCUGCCGGUGGGCUGGGACAUGGCGUCCUGGCUGGGGCUGCUUCCUGAGGGUGUCUGUCCCGGCGGCGAACGCCCAUGCGUCAGCUGGUGGCCGAACCUCACACUCACUGAGCUUCCUCAUGGAGCUCCCCUUGCUGGUGGGGCAGAGAGCACACGUCCUGCAGUCACUUGUGUGUGAGUGUGCAUGUGUGUGUCGGGGGUGCAGGGAGCCAACCCAGGGCCUUCCCACUGAGCUGCAUCCCCAGCCCUUUUUAUUUGGAGACAAGGUCUCGCUAAGUUGCCCAGGUUGGGCUUGUGCUUGGAUCCUCCUUCCUCAGCCCCCCAGACUGCUGGGAGUAUAGUCCUGCUCCACUACAGUCACUCUGCCUCGCUGCCCGUGCUGCCGCCUCAGCCUCAGCUGCUCCAGGUCCCUCAGGAGCUGCAGCCCACCCUGCCCUCUGGGCCUCCCCGAGUGGGUGCUCUCCUUGGUCUCCCUGGCUCGAAGCCUUUGCCAGUAAUCCCUUUGGGUUAAUUCGCCUUAUGCUGCCGUGGCUGGCAGGAGAUGAGGACUCACCACCGAGGUUCCAGUAACGUCCCCUUCCCAGUCCCCUACAGUGGAGGAGCUGCUCAAGAGCGCGCUCUGUUCAGCAAUGGUGUGGGACCUCAGGACGCAGAGACCUCUUUCCCUCAGGCAGCCAAAGAACAGUAGGAACACAGCCACUUGCAUUCCUGACUCCCCGAAUGAAGGCUGCAGGGACACAUAUGUUUGAGCUGAGUGACUGCCCCUUUGGGAGAAAGGGAGCCUCAUCCACCCAUGCAGUUGCUUCUCCAGGAAGUCUCUUUGUCCAGCCAAGCUGACAAGAUGAACUGGCAGACCACCGGUAAAACACUGAGUCAGUUCUGUGCGUGGACCCAGCUGUGGAGCCGCCUGUGAGGUGAGGACACCGGGGCCUCAGUUGGCUGCAGACCCUGGUGGGAACCCUGUGUGUGCCCAGCCCCUCAAGCAGCAGUGUCUCCGUGGGCACGGUCAUCCGCAGACCACCUUGCGGGGCAGCUUUCCCACUGGGACAGACAUCUGGUGCGGGCACUGAGGAGGAGGAAGAGCUAUUUGGCUCACGGUUCAGGUGCUGUAUGCCUGGGCGCACAGUACAUGGUGGUGGGAGCUGUGCUGUACCAGGCUUCUCACCUCACAGAAACCAGGAAGCACAGAGGAAGGGGAGGGUCCCCACCUCUCUGAGCCCACGCCCCAGUGACCUCACUUCCACCCACCAGGCCCCCCACCUGCUCCCAGGAGCAGCGGGCGCUGGCAUAGGACAUCCGGGAACCACACCAUGACAGCCGCUGAGCCUGCAGCUCCUGCUCUGCUUGGGGAUGCGAACGAC